RNAcentral lists this ribosomal RNA (254 nucleotides) under uncultured bacterium. RNAcentral's name for it is "partial 16S ribosomal RNA". It matches the Rfam family "Bacterial small subunit ribosomal RNA", at positions 524 to 776 of the family's 1533-position model. The record is from RNAcentral.
UGCGUAGGGGCCAAACGUUAUCCGGAAUUACUGGGCGUAAAGAGAAGCGUAGGCGUCUCGAUAAGUCUCAUGUGAAAGCCCGAGGCUCAACCUCGGAAACGCGUGAGAAACUAUCAAGAUUGAGUCAGAUAGGGGAAAGCGGAAUUCCUGGUGUAGCGGUGAAAUGCGUUGAUAUCAGGAGGAACACCAAUGGCGAAGGCAGCUUUCUGGAUCUAGACUGACGCUAAGGCUCGAAAGCGUGGGUAGCAAAACGG